This 447-nucleotide unclassified non-coding RNA is filed under the name Hevea brasiliensis (rubber tree). Lineage: Eukaryota; Viridiplantae; Streptophyta; Magnoliopsida; Malpighiales; Euphorbiaceae. The record is from RNAcentral.
UUCAAACUGGUCUUCAUCCAUAACCGUAUCUACAGAAUUAUACUCUUGGGAAACUACAUUAUUAUUUCCUAUCUCCAUAUGGCUUCCACCAGCGAAAUUUACAUUUUCUUGAUGAGACAUUCCUAUAAUGUCUUCUACAACACUAACUAUUCCAGUAUUUCCUGGAUCCUUCCCAGAAGUUUCUCUGGUCUCUUUCUUUUCUUCAUCGUCUUCCAUUACAAGGACCUAAUAAACUCUCAUCCAAACUAUUUGCAAGCUCAGAACCUCAUAAAAAUGGAUUGGUCUGAUCCGACUUUGAAUCUUUGGCCAAUUGUACAGAUAAUUGAAUAGAAAGGAAAAGAAAAUUCGAAGAACAGAGAAAUUUUCAGAGAGAAAGAGAGAAUCGGAGAAGACGAAAGAGGAGGCGAUUUGGGCGCGAGAUAGAAGGUGGAUUUGGCCAGUAAUAGG